Long non-coding RNA from Pieris napi, 1113 nucleotides. RefSeq lists it as uncharacterized. Lineage: Eukaryota; Metazoa; Arthropoda; Insecta; Lepidoptera; Pieridae. The record is from RefSeq and is a predicted model, not a curated record. The transcript has 4 exons.
AAAAAGAGCAGAACCUAGUUCCUGUUGUAAAAAACUUGUUUGGUAAACUUAUAGCUCACGUGUCCCAAAUAGCCUUGCAUUCUAAAAGUUUACUCUGGAAUGUCAACAACAACAGAGCCGAACAGUUUAAUAGCAUUGUGGCUAAGCAUAUAGGGGGAAAAAGAAUAAAUUUUUCUUUAAAAAACUCUUAUACUGCCAGGUGCCAUGCUGCGGUUGUUGCAUUUAAUACCGGUAAACCACAGUACAAUUUAUACCAAACUAACUUCAAACAAAGUCCGAGGAAAGCUGUAAAAAUUCUGGAGUUGCGCCGGCGUAGGCGCAAUAUUCAUCGCCGCCGUCAAGGUCCUAAAAGGAAAAUAAUAUUUAGUAAUGAGAACCGAGACUACGGAGAGAAAUGCCAAAAACCAGAUUUGAGUCCAGAGCAGUACGACAUAGCCAAAAGUUUGUUUUUGUCUAAUUUGAAAGAACUUGUGGAAAAUCGUCAUGCCGUUGAACGUGACACGGUAUUACAAGCUGAAAGUGCGUUGUGGCUAGAGCUCCGUAGAUGCCUGUUGACAGCCUCAUCAUUCAGCAAGAUUUGCAAGAGACGACCCAACAUAAGCUCAGCACCUCUUGUGAAGUCCAUCGUAUACUCGUAUUCGUUGGACAAAGUGCCAGCCAUAGAAUAUGGUAAAAGUAAUGAAAAAUCUGCUAUAGACCAACUACAGCAACAAGAAAACAUCGUUGUGGAAAAGUGUGGACUUUUCAUCGACAAAGAGCAUUAUUUCUUGGGUGCAUCUCCCGAUGGUCUCUACAACCAGGGAAUUAUUGAAAUAAAAUGUCCAUAUUCUGCACGCAACAUGGAUGCUGAGGAAGCGAUAAGGCAGCGCAAAAUUAAAUUUUGGAAAUUGGACGGCACCGUUAAUACCAACCACGAUUGGUAUUACCAAAUUCAGGGGCAGCUUCACAUUAGCGAAAAGAAAUUGUGUCUUUUUGCUGUGUGGACUGGUCAACAAUUUCCACUUAAAGUGGAAGUAAUAUCAAGGGACGAGGGUUUUUGGUGCCAAAAAAUGAAACCGAAAUUAAUCAAUUUCUACGAAAAGUGCCUCUUACCUGAAUAUAUCGACCCCAGGA